This 391-nucleotide ribosomal RNA is filed under the name Actinocyclus sp. (in: diatoms). RNAcentral describes it as "Actinocyclus sp. (in: Bacillariophyta) partial small subunit ribosomal RNA". It matches the Rfam family "Eukaryotic small subunit ribosomal RNA", at positions 582 to 975 of the family's 1831-position model. The record is from RNAcentral. Lineage: Eukaryota; Bacillariophyta; Coscinodiscophyceae; Coscinodiscales; Hemidiscaceae.
AUUCCAGCUCCAAUAGCGUAUAUUAAAGUUGUUGCAGUUAAAAAGCUCGUAGUUGGAUUUCUGGUAGAAGUAGCGACCUUGGGUCUUUGACCUAUGAAGUUGCUAUCUUCAACCAUCCUUGAAGAGAUUUAGUUUGGCAUUAAGUUGUCGAACUAAAGAUAUUCAUCUUUUACUGUGAAAAAAUCAGAACGUUCAAAGUAAGCAUUUAGCUUUGAAUGUAUUAGCAUGGAAUAAUGAAAUAGGACUUAGGUACUACUUUGUUGGUUUAUGCACCUAGGUAAUGAUUAAUAGGGACAGUCGGGGGUAUUCGUAUUCCAAUGUUAGAGGUGAAAUUCUUGGAUUUUUGGAGGACGAACAACUGCGAAAGCAUUUACCAAGGAUGUUUUCAUUA